UGGCUGUGAUGACAAAAGAAAAACUUCGUUUCUCGAUGCUGAGACUUGAUUUGUUCAAGGACCAAAAAUCGUGCUGACCUUUGUGCGUGUCUGAGCCAC
Molecule: non-coding RNA, 99 nt
Organism: Oryza brachyantha (malo sina)
Lineage: Eukaryota; Viridiplantae; Streptophyta; Magnoliopsida; Poales; Poaceae
Source: Rfam